RNAcentral lists this ribosomal RNA (253 nucleotides) under uncultured bacterium. Its description in RNAcentral is "partial 16S ribosomal RNA". It matches the Rfam family "Bacterial small subunit ribosomal RNA", at positions 524 to 776 of the family's 1533-position model. The record is from RNAcentral.
UACAGAGGAUGCAGGCGUCAUCCGGAAUCACUGGGCGUAAAGCGUGCGUAGGCGGUUCGUUAAGUCUGCUGUGAAAGCCCUGGGCUCAACCUGGGAACUGCAGUGGAUACUGGCGAACUAGAGUGUGAUAGAGGAUGGUGGAAUUCCCGGUGUAGCGGUGAAAUGCGUAGAGAUCGGGAGGAACACCAGUGGCGAAGGCGGCCAUCUGGAUCAACACUGACGCUGAGGCACGAAAGCGUGGGGAGCAAACAGG